ACACAGGCAGCGUCAGUGCAAGCUCCCACCACCCCGCCUCCCCCCUAUGUGUGUCACCCCCGCCCCUGGAGGGACCAUCUCUCGAGGUGGUUCCGGGCGCACUGCCCCCGUGCACAUAGGAACGCGCGCUGCCGGCGCCCCGGAUGCCUGGCUCCGGCUUGAGAGACGCUGCCCCCUCCGCUGCCAAAACAGGAGUUGAUUGGCCUUUUUCCCCCUUAAAAUGCCCUGAAACUGGAAAAGGCUGAACGUUAACAUUUCCGCCGUGGCAGCUCUUCCCGAGCCUCCUUUCCAAGAGCCGGGGUGCACUCACCCGGUCCCCGGGUCCCGCACACCCUGAGUGAAGCUCUGAGCUCCAGGAAGCGCUCUCGCUGUGCUUUCUGCGAGGGCUGCAAGCCACAUGGCCCCAGGCAUGGACCCACCGCCUUGGCACUGGGCCCCAGCCCCGCCUUUGCGUUUUGAGACAGCGUCUUGCUACACAGCCCGGGCUGGGUUUAAACUUACAGUCGUCCGGCCUCAGCCUCCCCGAGCGCGGGGCUCACAGGUGUGAACCACCAGCACUGGCGUGUCUCCCCUCGAUACGAUUCAUGCCAAGGAAGAUGUGACUUUCCCCGCGUGGAAGGGAAGACCCUGAGGACAGAUGACCUCGGAGGGCCGUUGGGACCCACUGGCUGCUGUGGCUCCCCUCACCCUCCCUGUCCCCGGCCAAGCUGACCGUUUCUCAGCAUUUUAUCCAUCCAUAGAACACGUAACUCCCCUGGAGUAAGUUGCUGCGCUGGCCGGGACCCAUGCUUUCUUUUACUCGCUCUUUCUCUUUCUCUCUUUCUGUCUUUCUUCUCUCUUUCUCUCUU
Chinchilla lanigera (long-tailed chinchilla) is the source of this 848-nucleotide long non-coding RNA. RefSeq lists it as uncharacterized. NCBI's taxonomy places the organism in Eukaryota, Metazoa, Chordata, Mammalia, Rodentia, Chinchillidae. The record is from RefSeq and is a predicted model, not a curated record. The transcript has 3 exons.